Molecule: ribosomal RNA, 492 nt
Filed under: uncultured bacterium
Lineage: Bacteria
Description: partial 16S ribosomal RNA
Rfam family: Bacterial small subunit ribosomal RNA
Source: RNAcentral
AGUGAACGCUGGCGGUAGGCCUAACACAUGCAAGUCGAACGGCAGCACAGUAAGAGCUUGCUCUUACGGGUGGCGAGUGGCGGACGGGUGAGGAAUACAUCGGAAUCUACUUUUUCGUGGGGGAUAACGUAGGGAAACUUACGCUAAUACCGCAUACGACCUACGGGUGAAAGCAGGGGAUCUUCGGACCUUGCGCGAUUGAAUGAGCCGAUGUCGGAUUAGCUAGUUGGCGGGGUAAAGGCCCACCAAGGCGACGAUCCGUAGCUGGUCUGAGAGGAUGAUCAGCCACACUGGAACUGAGACACGGCCCAGACUCCUACGGGAGGCAGCAGUGGGGAAUAUUGGACAAUGGGCGCAAGCCUGAUCCAGCCAUACCGCGUGGGUGAAGAAGGCCUUCGGGUUGUAAAGCCCUCUUGUUGGGAAAGAAAAGCAGCAGGUUAAUACCCCGCUGUUCUGACGGUACCCAAAGAAUAAGCACCGGCUAACUUCGUG